This is a regulatory RNA element of Orchesella cincta, 47 nucleotides long. It matches the Rfam family "Histone 3' UTR stem-loop". From Rfam's summary of the family: The mRNAs of metazoan histone genes lack a poly-A tail. 3' end processing occurs at a site between a highly conserved stem-loop (modelled by this family) and a purine rich region around 20 nts downstream (the histone downstream element, or HDE). NCBI's taxonomy places the organism in Eukaryota, Metazoa, Arthropoda, Collembola, Entomobryomorpha, Orchesellidae. The record is from Rfam.
CCAAAGGCCCUUUUAAGGGCCACCAAAUCUUACAAAGAGCAAACUUU